This 72-nucleotide transfer RNA is filed under the name Actinomadura physcomitrii. RNAcentral describes it as "Actinomadura sp. LD22 tRNA-Gln". It matches the Rfam family "tRNA". Rfam says of the family: Transfer RNA (tRNA) molecules are approximately 80 nucleotides in length. Their secondary structure includes four short double-helical elements and three loops (D, anti-codon, and T loops). The record is from RNAcentral. Lineage: Bacteria; Bacillati; Actinomycetota; Actinomycetes; Streptosporangiales; Thermomonosporaceae.
UCCGGCGUGGUGUAACUGGCAGCACACGGGCUUUUGGUGCCCUUGGUUCGGGUUCAAAUCCUGGCGCCGGAG